ACCAAUUCUAGCCCACACCCCCCUCCCCCUACUACCAUAAAUUAAUCAAAUAAAACAUUCACCAUACAUCUAAAGUAUAGGAGAUAGAAAUUUAAAUAUUGAUGGCGCUAUAGAAAUAGUACCGUAAGGGAAAGAUGAAAGAAUCAACCUAAAAGUAAUAAAAAGCAAAGCUUACCCCUUGUACCUUUUGCAUAAUGACUUAACUAGUAAUAACUUAGCAAAGAGACCUUAAGUUAAAUUACCCGAAACCAGACGAGCUACUUAUGAGCAGUACUUAGGACGAACUCAUCUAUGUGGCAAAAUAGUGAGAAGACUUAUAAGUAGAGGUGAAAAGCCCAACGAGCCUGGUGAUAGCUGGUUGUCCAUGAAAAGAAUCUCAGUUCAACGUUAAAUAAUACUAAAAGCCAGUGCCAAGCCUUAACGUAUAUUUAACCGUUAAUCUAAAAAGGUACAGCUUUUUAGAGAUGGGUACAACCUUGACUAGAGAGUAAAAUUAAACAUACACCAUAGUUGGCCUAAAAGCAGCCAUCAAUUAAGAAAGCGUUCAAGCUCGACAAUAAAACAAUGUUUUAAUUUCAAUAUUAAACAAAUCAACUCCUAGCCUGACUAUUGGACUAAUCUAUAUAAACAUAGAAGCAAUACUGUUAAUAUGAGUAACAAGAAAUUUUUUCUCCUAGCACAAGCUUAUAUUAGUAACUGAUAAUAUACUAAUAAUUAACAGCAAAUAAAUAAAACCCAACACUAAAUUAUUUAUUAAAAUACUGUUAACCCAACACAGGCGUGCAUUAAGGAAAGAUUAAAAAAAGUAAAAGGAACUCGGCAAACACAAACCCCGCCUGUUUACCAAAAACAUCACCUCUAGCAUAACCAGUAUUAGAGGCACUGCCUGCCCGGUGACUAACCGUUAAACGGCCGCGGUAUCCUGACCGUGCAAAGGUAGCAUAAUCACUUGUUCUCUAAUUAGGGACUUGUAUGAAUGGCCACACGAGGGUUUUACUGUCUCUUACUUUUAAUCAGUGAAAUUGACCUCCCCGUGAAGAGGCGGGGAUAACAAAAUAAGACGAGAAGACCCUAUGGAGCUUCAAUUAAUCAACCCAAAAAUCAUAACCUUAAACCACCAAGGGAUAACAAAAUUUUAUAUGGGCUGACAAUUUUGGUUGGGGUGACCUCGGAGUACAAAAAACCCUCCGAGUGAUUAAAACUUAGGCUCACUAGCCAAAGUAUAACAUCACUUAUUGAUCCAAUCUUUUGAUCAACGGAACAAGUUACCCUAGGGAUAACAGCGCAAUCCUAUUCUAGAGUUCAUAUCGACAAUAGGGUUUACGACCUCGAUGUUGGAUCAGGACAUCCUAAUGGUGCAGCUGCUAUUAAGGGUUCGUUUGUUCAACGAUUAAAGUCCUACGUGAUCUGAGUUCAGACCGGAGUAAUCCAGGUCGGUUUCUAUCUAUUACGCAUUUCUCCCAGUACGAAAGGACAAGAGAAAUAAGGCCAACUUCAAACAAGCGCCUUCAAAUAAUUAAUGACCUAGUCUCAAUUAAAUAAUUAAGCGCAAACAAACAUGCCCAAGACCAGGGCCCU
RNAcentral lists this ribosomal RNA (1578 nucleotides) under Balaenoptera edeni (Eden's whale). RNAcentral describes it as "16S ribosomal RNA". It matches the Rfam family "Bacterial large subunit ribosomal RNA", at positions 274 to 2854 of the family's 2925-position model. Lineage: Eukaryota; Metazoa; Chordata; Mammalia; Artiodactyla; Balaenopteridae. The record is from RNAcentral.